AGCGUGGAGCUUAACUCCAUCAUGGCAGUGGAAACUGAAAGGCUUGAGUAUGGUAGGGGCAGAGGGAAUUCCCGGUGUAGCGGUGAAAUGCGUAGAUAUCGGGAAGAACACCAGUGGCGAAGGCGCUCUGCUGGGCCAUUACUGACGCUCAUGGACGAAAGCCAGGGGAGCGAAAGGGAUUAGAUACCCCUGUAGUCCUGGCCGUAAACGAUGAACACUAGGUGUCGGGGGAAUCGACCCCUUCGGUGUCGUAGCUAACGCGUUAAGUGUUCCGCCUGGGGAGUACGCACGCAAGUGUGAAACUCAAAGGAAUUGACGGGGGCCCGCACAAGCGGUGGAGUAUGUGGUUUAAUUCGAUGCAACGCGAAGAACCUUACCAGGGUUUGACAUCCUGCGAACCUCUUAGAAAUUUGAGGGUGCCUUCGGGAAUGCAGUGACAGGUGGUGCAUGGCUGUCGUCAGCUCGUGUCGUGAGAUGUUGGGUUAAGUCCCGCAACGAGCGCAACCCACGUUUUUAGUUGCCAGCAUUUAGUUGGGCACUCUAGAAAGACCGCCGGUGAUAAACCGGAGGAAGGUGUGGAUGACGUCAAGUCAUCAUGCCCCUUACACCCUGGGCUACACACGUACUACAAUGCUACGGACAAAGGGCAGCAAACUCGCGAGAGCUAGCAAAUCCCAUAAACCGUGGCUCAGUUCAGAUCGUAGGCUGCAACUCGCCUACGUGAAGUAGGAAUCGCUAGUAAUCGCAGGUCAGCAUACUGCGGUGAAUACGUUCCCGGGCCUUGUACACACCGCCCGUCACACCAUGGAAGUUGGCCAUGCCCGAAGUCGUUACUCCAACCCUUGU
This 846-nucleotide ribosomal RNA is filed under the name marine metagenome. Its description in RNAcentral is "bacterial SSU rRNA". It matches the Rfam family "Bacterial small subunit ribosomal RNA", at positions 599 to 1444 of the family's 1533-position model. The record is from RNAcentral.